GACGAACGCUGGCGGCGUGCUUAACACAUGCAAGUCGAACGGAAAGGCCCUGCUUUUGUGGGGUGCUCGAGUGGCGAACGGGUGAGUAACACGCGAGUAACCUGCCCUUGACUUUGGGAUAACUUCAGGAAACUGGGGCUCAUACCGGAUAGGAGCUCCUGCUGCAUGGUGGGGGAUGGAAAGUUUCGGCGGUUGGGGAUGGACUCGCGGCUUAUCAGCUUGUUGGUGGGGUAGUGGCUUACCAAGGCUUUGACGGGUAGCCGGCCUGAGAGGGUGACCGGCCACAUUGGGACUGAGAGACGGCGCAGACUCCUACGUGAGGCAGCGGUGGAGAAUAUUGCACAAUGGGCCGAAGCCUGAUGCAGCGGCGCCGCGUGCGGGAUGACGGCCUUCGGGUUGUAAACCGAUUUCGCCUGUGACGAAGCGUGAGUGACGGUAAUGAAUAAAGAAGCCCCGGCUAACUACGUG
RNAcentral lists this ribosomal RNA (468 nucleotides) under uncultured bacterium. RNAcentral describes it as "partial 16S ribosomal RNA". It matches the Rfam family "Bacterial small subunit ribosomal RNA", at positions 28 to 507 of the family's 1533-position model. The record is from RNAcentral.